ACAUCCCUGUCCCUGCUCCUCUCCUGUUCCUCCUCUCUUCUUACAUCCCUCUCCCUACUCCUCUCUCGUUCCUUCUCUCUUCUCAUAUCACUCUCCCUGCUUGUGCUUCUCUCUUGUUCCUUCUCUCUUCCCAGAACCUUGUCCCCGUUUCUCUCUCGCUCCUUCUCUCUUCUCAGAUCCAUGUCCCUGCUCCUCUCUCGAUCUCUCUCUCUUCUCUGAUCCCUGUCCCUGCUGCUCUCUCCUUCCAGAUCCCUUCUCCGUUCCCAGUCCGUCUCCUUCUCCCUGUUCACCUCUCUGCCACAUGCAUCCCUGCUGCUAUGCUUGUCCCCACCUCCUAGCCUUCUGUUGUAACUGGUACUGUGCUCCCUCUCCAAAUCUUUACUACCACGCUGUAGACCCCUAUCAUGUCGAGACAUUCUUUCAUCAUCAGAAUCAUUCUCAUCCCUUCCAUUGUGUCGCCCUUUCUUUGAAAGAACAUCCUCUUCUACUAUGCUAUGAGAAUGAGAUCGCUCCCUAGCAAAAUCACAUGACAAUGAUCUACUCCUAGCAACAACCUCAUCAUAGUACCUAUCAUGAGAUGCAGAGCCUGUCACAGUCUUGUAUUUAUCCCCCCCACUUUCAGAAGAUGCUGAUUUCCCCCAAUCGCUUAAUUUACUUUCAUCACCCUCAGGUGUAUCAACAUCAUGGUAACUCUUUCGCUUGUGGCUUCCUUUAGAACAGCCCAAUUCCCCAUGUUGUUUCUUGCCUGAUUUACGAUGUUCAGGCCCCAAAUCUCCAUUGGCAUGAACAUCAAGGUCAUCUCUAGGAACUAAUCCAUCUCGAGCCUGAGACCUAGGAUCUUUGGACAAACUAACCUUCCUGUGUACCUUAUUAGCAUUGUUAAAAUUAGUUAAACCACUGUCACUAUUGUCAGCAUGAACUCCCUGCAAUACAAUGGAAGACAAUUAAGGGACAUAAAUUUGCAAGGGCAUGACAACCACCACUUAAUAAGUAAAUUACUCGACAAAAAUUAGUGAACAUGCAGAAAUGAAAUAGAAAUAAACUUGUAACUAGCUCUUACAAUCAAAAAUACGCCACCAGUUCUCCAUUGAAACGCCUAAGGGAAACUUCUUUCUUUUUGCAAUUCACUCAUGUUCGUGUGUAGUGCAAGCAGGUUCUUACUUAUAUAUGUGUAUGGAACAUACUCUAACAGGUUCUCAUCAAACAAAAAAUCAUCAUACAUUCCAUAUAAAUUAUAACACAACCAUAAGCAUCCGAUUGGCCACUGAGAAAACUAAGUUCGAAAAUAGAGGGAGAAAAAAAAUUCAUUUAAAACGUCAAAAAGUUUUGAUAAUUCUUGGCUGCCAGUAUAAGGACGCUAUUCUGCACAAAAGCAAGCUUUUCACAAUCGUUCAAAACGUAAGUUUUAAAUAUACACUUCAUUAUUGCACAUUUAUUUCCCCAAUUUUCUCAGCGACCAAACAGAAAGCCAAAAACCAUAUAAAAACAAUUCAGAUGAUUAAUUAAAACACAUAAGGACUGACAGAACACACCAGAUUUUGGGAACCCAUUUUUUCCUGGCGUAAUUCGAUGGCCUUUACACUG
This 1584-nucleotide unclassified non-coding RNA is filed under the name Hevea brasiliensis (rubber tree). Lineage: Eukaryota; Viridiplantae; Streptophyta; Magnoliopsida; Malpighiales; Euphorbiaceae. The record is from RNAcentral.